UGGGGAAUUUUGGACAAUGGGCGAAAGCCUGAUCCAGCCAUGCCGCGUGAGUGAAGAAGGCCUUCGGGUUGUAAAGCUCUUUAGUCGGAAAGAAAGAGUCGGAAUGAAUAAUUGUGAUUUAUGACGGUACCGACAGAAAAAGCACCGGCUAACUACGUGCCAGCAGCCGCGGUAAUACGUAGGGGGCGAGAGUUAAUCGGAAUUACUGGGCGUAAAGGGUGCGCAGGCGGUUUUGCAAGUCAGAUGUGAAAGCCCCGGGCUUAACCUGGGAAUUGCGUUUGAAACUACAAGGCUAGAGUGCCGCAGAGGUGAGUGGAAUUCCAUGUGUAGCAGUGAAAUGCGUAGAGAUUUGGAAGAACACCGAUGGCGAAGGCAGCUCCCUGGGUUGACACUGACGCUCAUGCACGAAAGCGUGGGGAGCAAACA
This 426-nucleotide ribosomal RNA is filed under the name uncultured beta proteobacterium. Its description in RNAcentral is "bacterial SSU rRNA". It matches the Rfam family "Bacterial small subunit ribosomal RNA", at positions 355 to 774 of the family's 1533-position model. The record is from RNAcentral. Lineage: Bacteria; Pseudomonadati; Pseudomonadota; Betaproteobacteria.